This is a long non-coding RNA of Epinephelus fuscoguttatus (brown-marbled grouper), 349 nucleotides long. RefSeq lists it as uncharacterized. NCBI's taxonomy places the organism in Eukaryota, Metazoa, Chordata, Actinopteri, Perciformes, Serranidae. The record is from RefSeq and is a predicted model, not a curated record. The transcript has 3 exons.
CGCCUCCUUCAGCCUGGCCUGCACGAGCUCUCUCUCCAGCUGCAGGACGGACUCCUCAGAGUACCGAGGGGCUCCCUUCUACAACAGGACACGUGUGUGGUGGAGUUUUUGAUUAUUACCUGCAUGAGGAGCAGUCCAACAAUGAACGCACUCCCUUGACAAUAGCCAACCUCCCGGUCAACCAGAGAGUAUGCCUGAGGUGACAGAAAAGCUUUGGGAUUAUCAGCUGAUCUGCAUGCACUCAGGUUCCUCAAACACUAACGGAGACUUGCCUUCAUGACAUUGAAGAGCACUUCCUGGCCCAAGCUGUCUUUCUCCUUGAAGAAUUCGUGUUCGGGAUAAGUGCGGG